This 257-nucleotide ribosomal RNA is filed under the name uncultured bacterium. RNAcentral describes it as "partial 16S ribosomal RNA". It matches the Rfam family "Bacterial small subunit ribosomal RNA", at positions 1066 to 1322 of the family's 1533-position model. The record is from RNAcentral.
CGUGAGAUGUUGGGUUAAGUCCCGCAACGAGCGCAACCCUUUUCCUUAUUUGCCAGCGGGUUAAGCCGGGAACUUUAAGGAUACUGCCAGUGACAAACUGGAGGAAGGCGGGGACGACGUCAAGUCAUCAUGGCCCUUACGACCAGGGCUACACACGUGCUACAAUGGUAGGUACAGAGGGUUGCUACACAGCGAUGUGAUGCUAAUCUCAAAAAGCCUAUCGUAGUCCGGAUUGGAGUCUGCAACUCGACUCCAAU